RNAcentral lists this ribosomal RNA (301 nucleotides) under uncultured bacterium. RNAcentral's name for it is "partial 16S ribosomal RNA". It matches the Rfam family "Bacterial small subunit ribosomal RNA", at positions 509 to 807 of the family's 1533-position model. The record is from RNAcentral.
CAGCAGCCACGGUAAUACGUAGGGUGCAAGCGUUAAUCGGAAUUACUGGGCGUAAAGCGUGCGCAGUCGGUUAUAUAAGACAGAUGUGAAAUCCCCGGGCUCAACCUGUGAACUGCAUUUGUGACUGUAUAGCUAGAGUACGGCAGAGGGGGAUGGAAUUCCGCGUGUAGCAGUGAAAUGCGUAGAUAUGCGGAGGAACACCGAUGGCGAAGGCAAUCCCCUGGGCCUGUACUGACGCUCAUGCACGAAAGCGUGGGGAGCAAACAGGAUUAGAUACCCCAGUAGUCCCUGUCUCUUAUAC